CGAUGUCGCGCGGGAGAGUCCUCAGCACCGCCUGGGGCGCCGAAGGAGCAACUCCUCCCCGGAAUCUCUCAGGCACAGCUACCGCCCGACGAAG
RNAcentral lists this non-coding RNA (94 nucleotides) under Saccharothrix sp. RNAcentral describes it as "Glycine sequence". It matches the Rfam family "Glycine riboswitch aptamer". Rfam says of the family: This family represents the bacterial glycine riboswitch. Glycine riboswitches usually consist of two metabolite-binding aptamers domains with similar structures in tandem. Lineage: Bacteria; Bacillati; Actinomycetota; Actinomycetes; Pseudonocardiales; Pseudonocardiaceae. RNAcentral also lists the same sequence under 1 other name. The record is from RNAcentral.